Molecule: ribosomal RNA, 343 nt
Filed under: bacterium enrichment culture clone ALO1_GLFRUDD03GP5DH
Lineage: Bacteria
Description: bacterial SSU rRNA
Rfam family: Bacterial small subunit ribosomal RNA
Source: RNAcentral
GAGUUUGAUCUUGGCUCAGAUUGAACGCUGGCGGCAUGCCUUACACAUGCAAGUCGAACGGCAGCACGGGAGCUUGCUCCUGGUGGCGAGUGGCGAACGGGUGAGUAAUGCAUCGGAACGUAUCCUGGAGUGGGGGAUAACGUAGCGAAAGUUACGCUAAUACCGCAUAUUCUGUGAGCAGGAAAGCGGGGGACCUUCGGCCUCGCGCUCUUGGAGCGGCCGAUGUCGGAUUAGCUAGUUGGUGAGGUAAAGGACUCACCAAGGCGACGAUCCGUAGCAGGUCUGAGAGGAUGAUCUGCCACACUGGAACUGAGACACGGUCCAGACUCCUACGGGAGGCAGC